RNAcentral lists this transfer RNA (53 nucleotides) under Telamonia vlijmi. RNAcentral describes it as "tRNA-Arg". The record is from RNAcentral. Lineage: Eukaryota; Metazoa; Arthropoda; Arachnida; Araneae; Salticidae.
UUUAUAAAGAGCUUUUAAGCAUUUUGAUUUCGACUCAAAAAAUGGGAAUAAUA